UACGAAGGGGACUAGCGUUGUUCGGAUUUACUGGGCGUAAAGCGCGCGUAGGCGGAUCGCUAAGUCAGGGGUGAAAUCCCAGGGCUCAACCCUGGAACUGCCUUUGAUACUGACGGUCUGGAGAUCGGGAGAGGUUGGUGGAAUUCCGAGUGUAGAGGUGAAAUUCGUAGAUAUUCGGAGGAACACCAGAAGCGAAGGCGGCCAACUGGCCCGAUACUGACGCUGAGGAGCGAAAGCGUGGGGAGCGAACCGG
Molecule: ribosomal RNA, 253 nt
Filed under: uncultured bacterium
Lineage: Bacteria
Description: partial 16S ribosomal RNA
Rfam family: Bacterial small subunit ribosomal RNA
Source: RNAcentral